CCUAGAUGGCAUAGCGUACCUCAACACCUAGGCUACACUGUUUGACCACCGACUGCUCCUAGGCUACAAACCUGAACAGCAUGUUACUAUACUGAAUACUGUAGGCAACUGUAACACAAUGGGCUGUGGAUGACCAACCUGAGCCACAUGUUAAAAGAAGGACCCUAGACAGCCCCAAGCACUGCCCAAACCAUCUCAGAGGAAAGCCCUGGACUUCUCCUGAAUGCUCAUCCAUCAGCUUAAGGGCUUGUCUGGUGAAGACCACGUUCACCUGGGCGAGGGAUUUAAGGAGGCAUAGCUAUUCCUUACAGUGUGCCACAUGUGCUCGCUUACCUGGAAGCACACAUAUGGACCUCCGGAAGUCCACACCCAAGAAACCAUGACUGAAAGAAAGAAAAGGGAUCCUCUGCUUCUUGAAGAUUCAUCUCUGUUCCACCUGCAUGUUGGAGGAGACAGUCUACUUAAGGCUCCAUAGCCCACCAUACUACAGUACAACUCAACACUGUACGUCCUCGAUAGCCAUGCAGAAAACAUACACCAAAUAGAAGUAGGACACUACUACUGAGAGAAGGAAGGCACAGAAACACAUUCAGCAUAAAAGGGUAUGAAAAUGCCUGAACACAAUCAUACCCUUCACAACUUUGGUGAAUCUCAGCACAGAGCACCUGUCCAGCUCCUCACCAGCCAGCACCUGGACCUCUGAGGAAUGUGCCACAGGGCUCCAUGAGCAUCGUCAUCUUCACAGGUGAGGCCCAGAAAGAUGAAGGAUUUUGCACAAGGUCUCAAAGCUCACCAUGCAAGAAAAAUGUCUGAACAGAAAUAAAACUGAACAUGUUGAUUAUUCUUGAUGAUAUUUUGAAUGCAACAAGUACUCAUGGAGUGUUUUUCAGCAUCCAGUAACACCAUACUAGAUAUAAUAACUUGUUAAGAGAGACUUUCCCAAGGUCAAAAAUAAGAGGAUUGAGAGAAGCACUUUCAUAUUAUUCA
This is a long non-coding RNA of Callithrix jacchus (white-tufted-ear marmoset), 987 nucleotides long. RefSeq lists it as uncharacterized. The record is from RefSeq and is a predicted model, not a curated record. Lineage: Eukaryota; Metazoa; Chordata; Mammalia; Primates; Cebidae.